GACGAACGCUGGCGGCGUGCUUAACACAUGCAAGUCGAACGGAAAGGCCCUGCUUUUGUGGGGUGCUCGAGUGGCGAACGGGUGAGUAACACGUGAGUAACCUGCCCUUGACUUUGGGAUAACUUCAGGAAACUGGGGCUAAUACCGGAUAGGAGCUCCUGCUGCAUGGUGGAGGUUGGAAAGUUUCGGCGGUUGGGGAUGGACUCGCGGCUUAUCAGCUUGUUGGUGGGGUAGUGGCUUACCAAGGCUUUGACGGGUAGCCAGCCUGAGAGGGUGACCGGCCACAUUGGGACUGAGAUACGGCCCAGACUCCUACGGGAGGCAGCAGUGGGGAAUAUUGCACAAUGGGCGGAAGCCUGAUGCAGCGACGCCGCGUGCGGGAUGACGGCCUUCGGGUUGUAAACCGCUUUCGCCUGUGACGAAGCGUGAGUGACGGUAAUGGGUAAAGAAGCACCGGCUAACUACGUG
Molecule: ribosomal RNA, 468 nt
Filed under: uncultured bacterium
Lineage: Bacteria
Description: partial 16S ribosomal RNA
Rfam family: Bacterial small subunit ribosomal RNA
Source: RNAcentral